GGGCAUGUGGCGGAAUUGGCAGACGCGCCGGAUUUAGGUUCCGGUGGGGCAACCCGUGAAGGUUCGAGUCCUUUCUUGCCCA
Molecule: transfer RNA, 82 nt
Filed under: Vulcanimicrobiota bacterium
Lineage: Bacteria; Bacillati; Vulcanimicrobiota
Description: tRNA-Leu
Rfam family: tRNA
About the family: Transfer RNA (tRNA) molecules are approximately 80 nucleotides in length. Their secondary structure includes four short double-helical elements and three loops (D, anti-codon, and T loops). Further hydrogen bonds mediate the characteristic L-shaped molecular structure. tRNAs have two regions of fundamental functional importance: the anti-codon, which is responsible for specific mRNA codon recognition, and the 3' end, to which the tRNAs corresponding amino acid is attached (by aminoacyl-tRNA synthetases). tRNAs cope with the degeneracy of the genetic code in two manners: having more than one tRNA (with a specific anti-codon) for a particular amino acid; and 'wobble' base-pairing, i.e. permitting non-standard base-pairing at the 3rd anti-codon position.
Source: RNAcentral